GACGAACGCUGGCGGCGUGCUUAACACAUGCAAGUCGAACGGAAAGGCCCUGCUUUUGUGGGGUGCUCGAGUGGCGAACGGGUGAGUAACACGUGAGUAACCUGCCCUUGACUUUGGGAUAACUUCAGGAAACUGGGGCUAAUACCGGAUAGGAGCUCCUGCUGCAUGGUGGGGGUUGGAAAGUUUCGGCGGUUGGGGAUGGACUCGCGGCUUAUCAGCUUGUUGGUGGGGUAGUGGCUUACCAAGGCUUUGACGGGUAGCCGGCCUGAGAGGGUGACCGGCCACAUGGGGGAUGGAAUACGGCCGAGACUCCUGGGGGAGGCAGCAGUGGGGAAUAUUGCAGAAGGGGCGGAAGCGUGAUGCAGCAGCGCCGCGUGCGGGAUGACGGCCUUCGGGUUGUAAACCGCUUUCGCCUGGGACGAAGGGUGGGUGGCGGGAAGGGGUAAAGAAGCACCGGCUAACCACG
This 466-nucleotide ribosomal RNA is filed under the name uncultured bacterium. Its description in RNAcentral is "partial 16S ribosomal RNA". It matches the Rfam family "Bacterial small subunit ribosomal RNA", at positions 28 to 505 of the family's 1533-position model. The record is from RNAcentral.